UUAACAAUCUUCAAAACAUCCAAAACCUUUCUUCCCAUCUUCUUCCCGGCACUCAUAACCUUCCCUAUAUACUCCUAUAAUUCAAAUCUUGUAUGUGUGUUUCAGCUUGAACAUAAAGAAAAACCAUCCCAUUUUCUAUGAGAUACAAAAAAAAAAAAAACUAAAUAAAUAAACAAAAACUAAAAAGAUCAAUGCAUCAGUUUCCAGAUUGCACUAGAAACUUCAAUCGCCUUGUCCAAGAUUGAGCCUCUUUUCGAAAAAUUGAGUAGGGAAAAAACCUCGUCCAAACUCUCCAACCUGAAGUGUUUACUCAAAAUCGAUGGAUCCAUCACCACAAUGUAAAAUCAGCCUCCGAAAGAGAUUAAUGUAUAAGAAACCAAACUACCAUUCACCUAAGAAUGGAAGAUUAUCAGAGAGAGAGAGAGCAUAAC
RNAcentral lists this long non-coding RNA (431 nucleotides) under Olea europaea (common olive). RNAcentral's name for it is "long non-coding RNA (OEUR_LNC011536)". The record is from RNAcentral. Lineage: Eukaryota; Viridiplantae; Streptophyta; Magnoliopsida; Lamiales; Oleaceae.